Long non-coding RNA from Musa acuminata AAA Group (dessert banana), 839 nucleotides. RefSeq lists it as uncharacterized. Lineage: Eukaryota; Viridiplantae; Streptophyta; Magnoliopsida; Zingiberales; Musaceae. The transcript has 4 exons. The record is from RefSeq and is a predicted model, not a curated record.
CCAUCCCUCCCCGUGCGCUCCCCCCAAAGCAACGCUGCUCCACCUCCUGCGCCUCCGUACGCGUUCCCUUCCUCUCGCAAAUCGCGGCCGCCGAGCAAGCCCUUCCCUCGUGACGAGAGAGACGAGGUAUAUGGGCAGCGACAGCGAGAAUAAGAAAUCCGUGGAGAGGAAGAAGCCGAUGGCCGUCGCACCCAUCGCCAAGCCCCUGGCCGGCAAGAAUCUCUGCAAGCGCACCCUAAGCUCGUCCGACGAGCUGCGGAGGCCAAGAGCUUGAAACGGGGACUGAAGGAAGUAGUAAAGAGUGUCCGCCGUGGUCAUAAAGGAUUGUGUUAUAGCUGGAAACAUUUCUCCUAUUGAUGUGAUUACACAUGUGCCCAUCUUGUUGGAGGAAGCUGACAUUCCUUAUAUUUAUGUUCCUUCAAAGGAGGGGUCACCAAGAGGCCGACAUGUUGUGUAUUUGUUCUAACCAAGCCAACCAAAGGGGAAUUGGUCCAAGAGGGACAAGAGAAGUUGCAGGCAGAUUACAACCAGGUCGUAGCAGACGUAAAGGAGCUAACAACUUCCCUUUUCUGAGUGGCAAUAGUCUAAACCCAUCUCACAUGCCUUGUAUGCAUCUAAUGGAAUUAUCAUAUUUGUUCUGUUUCAUCCGAGUUGCCAGUACUGAUACUUGGGAAAGAAUCAUGGAGACUGAAUGCGAUAUUAUGCAAUUUUUCUGGAUGUCAUGUUAUGUUAUUGUUUGGUCUGUAUGUUGGCUUAUGAUCAGUUUCAUCAACUUUAUGGUCUAUCCGUCAGUAGCUGGAGAAGCUUUACCUUAAAGUUAGAGAUGAGGAUUUAUUGCA